GAUGAACGCUGGCGGCGUGCUUAACACAUGCAAGUCGAACGGGAAACCUUUUAUUGAAGCUUCGGCAGAUUUAGCUGGUUUCUAGUGGCGGACGGGUGAGUAACGCGUGGGUAACCUGCCCUAUACAGGGGGAUAACAACCAGAAAUGGUUGCUAAUACCGCAUAAGCGCACAGGGCCGCAUGGUCCGGUGUGAAAAACUCCGGUGGUAUAGGAUGGACCCGCGUUGGAUUAGCCAGUUGGCAGGGUAACGGCCUACCAAAGCGACGAUCCAUAGCCGACCUGAGAGGGUGAACGGCCACAUUGGGACUGAGACACGGCCCAGACUCCUACGGGAGGCAGCAGUGGGGAAUAUUGCACAAUGGGGGAAACCCUGAUGCAGCGACGCCGCGUGAAGGAAGAAGUAUCUCGGUAUGUAAACUUCUAUCAGCAGGGAAGAUAGUGACGGUACCUGACUAAGAAGCCCCGGCUAACUACGUG
This 478-nucleotide ribosomal RNA is filed under the name uncultured bacterium. RNAcentral's name for it is "partial 16S ribosomal RNA". It matches the Rfam family "Bacterial small subunit ribosomal RNA", at positions 28 to 507 of the family's 1533-position model. The record is from RNAcentral.